RNAcentral lists this ribosomal RNA (441 nucleotides) under uncultured bacterium. RNAcentral describes it as "bacterial SSU rRNA". It matches the Rfam family "Bacterial small subunit ribosomal RNA", at positions 338 to 795 of the family's 1533-position model. The record is from RNAcentral.
CCUACGGGUGGCAGCAGUGGGGAAUAUUGCACAAUGGGGGAAACCCUGAUGCAGCAACGCCGCGUGAGCGAAGAAGGCCUUCGGGUCGUAAAGCUCUGUCCUAAGGGAAGAAGCAUGACAGUACCUGACUAAGAAGCCCCGGCUAACUACGUGCCAGCAGCCGCGGUAAUACGUAGGGGGCAAGCGUUAUCCGGAAUCACUGGGUGUAAAGGGUGCGUAGGCGGUAGGGCAAGUCAGAUGUGAAAGCCCGGGGCUCAACCCCGGGAUUGCAUUUGAAACUGUCUUACUAGAGUGCAGGAGAGGAAAGCGGAAUUCCUAGUGUAGCGGUGAAAUGCGUAGAUAUUAGGAAGAACACCAGUGGCGAAGGCGGCUUUCUGGACUAUAACUGACGCUGAGGCACGAAAGCGUGGGGAGCGAACAGGAUUAGAUACCCCAGUAGUC